RNAcentral lists this ribosomal RNA (492 nucleotides) under uncultured bacterium. RNAcentral's name for it is "partial 16S ribosomal RNA". It matches the Rfam family "Bacterial small subunit ribosomal RNA", at positions 29 to 507 of the family's 1533-position model. The record is from RNAcentral.
AGUGAACGCUGGCGGUAGGCCUAACACAUGCAAGUCGAACGGCCGCACAGUAAGAGCUUGCUCUUACGGGUGGCGAGUGGCGGACGGGUGAGGAAUACAUCGGAAUCUACUUUUUCGUGGGGGAUAACGUAGGGAAACUUACGCUAAUCCCGCAUACGACCUACGGGUGAAAGCAGGGGAUCUUCGGACCUUGCUCGAUUUCAUGAGCCGAUGUCGGAUUAGCUAGUUGGCGGGGUAAAGGCCCACCAAGGCGACGAUCCGUAGCUGGUCUGAGAGGAUGAUCAGCCACACUGGAACUGAGACACGGUCCAGACUCCUACGGGAGGCAGCAGUGGGGAAUAUUGGACAAUGGGCGCAAGCCUGAUCCAGCCAUACCGCGUGGGUGAAGAAGGCCUUCGGGUUGUAAAGCCCUUUUGUUGGGAAAGAAAAGCAGCAGGGUAAUACCCCGCUGUUCUGACGGUACCCAAAGAAUAAGCACCGGCUAACUUCGUG